AGAGUUUGAUCCUGGCUCAGGCGGGGGGCGUGCUAUAAUGCAGUCGAACGAACUCUGGUAUUGAUUGGUGCUUGCAUCAUGAUUUACAUUUGAGUGAGUGGCGAACUGGUGAGUAACACGUGGGAAACCUGCCCAGAAGCGGGGGAUAACACCUGGAAACAGAUGCUAAUACCGCAUAACAACUUGGACCGCAUGGUCCGAGUUUGAAAGAUGGCUUCGGCUAUCACUUUUGGAUGGUCCCGCGGCGUAUUAGCUAGAUGGUGGGGUAACGGCUCACCAUGGCAAUGAUACGUAGCCGACCUGAGAGGGUAAUCGGCCACAUUGGGACUGAGACACGGCCCAAACUCCUACGGGAGGCAGCAGUAGGGAAUCUUCCACAAUGGACGAAAGUCUGAUGGAGCAACGCCGCGUGAGUGAAGAAGGGUUUCGGCUCGUAAAACUCUGUUGUUAAAGAAGAACAUAUCUGAGAGUAACUGUUCAGGUAUUGACGGUAUUUAACCAGAAAGCCACGGCUAACUACGUGCCAGCAGCCGCGGUAAUACGUAGGUGGCAAGCGUUGUCCGGAUUUAUUGGGCGUAAAGCGAGCGCAGGCGGUUUUUUAAGUCUGAUGUGAAAGCCUUCGGCUCAACCGAAGAAGUGCAUCGGAAACUGGGAAACUUGAGUGCAGAAGAGGACAGUGGAACUCCAUGUGUAGCGGUGAAAUGCGUAUAUAUAUGGAAGAACACCAGUGGCGAAGGCGGCUGUCUGGUCUGUAACUGACGCUGAGGCUCGAAAGUAUGGGUAGCAAACAGGAUUAGAUACCCUGGUAGUCCAUACCGUACACGAUGAAUGCUAAGUGUUGGAGGGUUUCCGCCCUUCAGUGCUGCAGCUAACGCAUUAAGCAUUCCGCCUGGGGAGUACGGCCGCAAGGCUGAAACUCAAAGGAAUUGACGGGGGCCCGCACAGCGGUGGAGCAUGUGGUUAAUUCGAAGCUACGCGAAGAACCUUACCAGGUCUUGACAUACUAUGCAAUCUAAAAUAU
RNAcentral lists this ribosomal RNA (1021 nucleotides) under Lactiplantibacillus plantarum. Its description in RNAcentral is "bacterial SSU rRNA". It matches the Rfam family "Bacterial small subunit ribosomal RNA", at positions 8 to 1007 of the family's 1533-position model. The record is from RNAcentral. Lineage: Bacteria; Bacillati; Bacillota; Bacilli; Lactobacillales; Lactobacillaceae.